UAUCGGAUCGGGUGAAUUAGAGAAUAGACAGAGGUCCGUUGGCAUUUCAGCCUUUCUUCUCCUUUCAGGGGUGAGUAGUUCCUCGUGUCAAAAAAAAAGAAAUGGUUAAGGAUACAAUCAAUCAAUAAAUUCUUACUUCUAAGCUUUAUUGGGGAGAAGUAAAGUAACUAAAAAGUACAAAUUGAAAUCAAAUUGAAAUGGUAUUAUGAAAUUCCAUUCCCAUUAGAAUAUUCAUUGACAGAUAAUAAAAAAAAGGAAAACUCUAAUAUAAUAGAAAAUGAAAUGAAACGGUCGACCCUGGGCGACACACGUGCUACAAUGGGCCGGACAAAGGGUCGCGAUCUCCCGAGGGUGAGCUAACUCCAAAACCCGUCCUCAGUUCGGAUUGCAGGCUGCAACUCGCCUGCAUGAAGCAGGAAUCGCUAGUAAUCGCCGGUCAGCCAUACGGCGGUGAAUCCGUUCCCGGGCCGCUGCCCG
Triticum urartu is the source of this 477-nucleotide non-coding RNA. The record is from Rfam. Lineage: Eukaryota; Viridiplantae; Streptophyta; Magnoliopsida; Poales; Poaceae.